RNAcentral lists this ribosomal RNA (305 nucleotides) under uncultured bacterium. RNAcentral describes it as "bacterial SSU rRNA". It matches the Rfam family "Bacterial small subunit ribosomal RNA", at positions 338 to 660 of the family's 1533-position model. The record is from RNAcentral.
CCUACGGGGCGCAGCAGUAGGGAAUAUUGCUCAAUGGGGGAAACCCUGAAGCAGCAACGCCGCGUGGAGGAUGAAGGUUUUCGGAUUGUAAACUCCUUUUGUUAGAGAAGAUAAUGACGGUAUCUAACGAAUAAGCACCGGCUAACUCCGUGCCAGCAGCCGCGGUAAUACGGAGGGAGCAAGCGUUAUCCGGAUUUAUUGGGUGUAAAGGGUGCGUAGACGGGAAAUUAAGUUAGUUGUGAAAUCCCUCGGCUUAACUGAGGAACUGCAACUAACACUGAUUUUCUUGAGUACUGGAGAGGAAA